UACAGAGGGUGCAAGCGUUGUUCGGAAUUAUUGGGCGUAAAGGGCGCGUAGGCGGUGCGGUAAGUCUGUAGUGAAAUCUCUGGGCUCAACUCAGAGUCUGCUGCAGAAACUGCCGUGCUUGAGUGCGGGAGAGGUGAGUGGAAUUCCCGGUGUAGCGGUGAAAUGCGUAGAUAUCGGAAGGAACACCAGUGGCGAAAGCGGCUUCCUGGUCCGACACCGACGUUCAGGCACGAAAGCGUGGGGAGCAAACAGG
RNAcentral lists this ribosomal RNA (253 nucleotides) under uncultured bacterium. Its description in RNAcentral is "partial 16S ribosomal RNA". It matches the Rfam family "Bacterial small subunit ribosomal RNA", at positions 524 to 776 of the family's 1533-position model. The record is from RNAcentral.